RNAcentral lists this transfer RNA (66 nucleotides) under Enterocloster bolteae. It matches the Rfam family "tRNA". From Rfam's summary of the family: Transfer RNA (tRNA) molecules are approximately 80 nucleotides in length. The record is from RNAcentral. Lineage: Bacteria; Bacillati; Bacillota; Clostridia; Lachnospirales; Lachnospiraceae.
CAGAUAGCUCAGUUGGUAGAACAGAGGUCUGAAAAUCUUCGUGUCGUUGGUUCGAUUCCGACUUUG